Hypanus sabinus (Atlantic stingray) is the source of this 1960-nucleotide long non-coding RNA. RefSeq lists it as uncharacterized. The transcript has 3 exons. NCBI's taxonomy places the organism in Eukaryota, Metazoa, Chordata, Chondrichthyes, Myliobatiformes, Dasyatidae. The record is from RefSeq and is a predicted model, not a curated record.
GUUGAAGUGCAGGAGCAAGCAGCUCACGCUUAGCUGGGAAACAGACUAAGUUCUCAACCCUACCAAUAGAGAUUAACCAAAAUCAAUUCAAUGAGUGGAAUAAAAUGUUAUCAAGAUAUAUAUGGCAAGGUUCUUUUGAAGACCCUGACCUGGAGUUACACGCUGACUUCGGUUCUUUGUGGGAAUGGGACCUGCUCUUAGGGCCUCACGAUCGGCCGCUUUUCGAUAUGCCAAGGGCACGGCCUGGAAGACUAGCACACCUUCAGAAUAUGGAUUUUCAUGGCUCUGGAGAUGGGCUGAUACAAGGCUGGUGCUGCUGCUGACUGAUGCAUCAUAGGAGAACACGGAAGAUCGGAAGCAGAAAGCUGGCUGCUGGCUGUGUGACCAGAGACCUGAGUUCUUUGGGUACAGGGCUCAGAAAAAACAACGCAACAGAUUUUUAAUACCAUUAGUCAGUGAGGCGUUUGUUAUGCCCCCCCUCUCACUGUGAAAUGGGGACAUCUCUUUUUCACUAAUUAGGGAGAGAGUGAAUACCGGGUGAACCAGUAGUCUUUGGGGUACUGCAAGUCUGUACACUUGAGUGCUCAGUGGAGGGCGCCAAUGCUUUUUUGCUGGUGGGGGCUGUUGCCUUGAUGCUGCUUGUGUGUGGGAGGAGGGCUGUGGGGGGCUUUGGGGUUCUAACAUUUAACUGUCAUUCAUUAUUUGGGGCACUGCUUUGUUUUCGUGUAUGUUUGUGAAGAAAAAUAAUUUCAGGAUAUACGUUGUAUACACUUCUCUCACAUUAAGUGUACCUAUUGAACUUUGCUGGUGAUACAAGCAUUGUUGGCAGAAUCUCAGAUGGAGACAACAGGAUAUAUAGGAAUGAACUAUACCAGUUAGUUGAGUGGUGUUGGUGUAACAAACUUGCACUCAAAGAUGGUAAGACCGAAGAGCUGAUUGUGGACUUUAGAAAGGGUAGAAUGAGGGAACAACAAAAACAAUCCUCACAGAGGGAUCAGAGGUGGAGAGAGUGUGCAAUUUCAAGUUCCUGGGUGUCGAGAUCUCUGAAGAUCUAACCAGUUUCCAACAUAUCGAUGCAGUUAUAAAGAAGCAAGACAGCAGCUAUAUUUCAUUAGGAGUUUGAGGAGAUUUGGUUUGUCAACUAAGACACUUGAAAACAUCUACAGAUGUACCAUGCAGAGUAUUCUGAUUCUGACUGGCUGCAACACCGUCUGGUGUGGGGGGAGGGGGGAUGUGGUGACUACUGAAAGAAGCUACAGAAGCUUGUAAAAUUAGUCAGCUACAUCUUGGCUACUAGCCUCCAUAGUAUUCAAGCUAUCUUCGAGAGCGGUGCCUCAGAAAGGCGGUGUCUAUAAUUAAGGAUAACCGCCACCCUGGAUAUGCCCUCUUCUCAUUAUUACUGUCAGGAGCGAUAUCCACAAGCCUGAAAGCACACACUCAGUGAUUCAGGAACGGUUUUUUCCACUCUGCCAUUUGAUUCCUAAAUGGACGUUGAACCUGUGAACGCUAGUUUUAUUACUUCAGUUACUGCACUAUUUUUAAACUAACUACUUAAUAUAUAUACUUACUGUAAUUGAUUUACUUAUUUAUUGUUUUCUAUAUUACCAUACAUUGCAUUGUACUGCUGCUGUUAAGUUAACAAAUUUCACAACAUAUGCUAGUGUUACUAAACCUGAUUCUGAUUGUGACAACAAAUAAUUUGGGAAUAGUGCGGUUGUAAGGCUUAAUGGGCGAGGGGUUACUGAAGGUACACUGCAGUGAAUUGUUAUCAUGGAUUGUGUUCUUUGCUAUGUUUAAUCUAAUCAAAUUAUUGACGCAUUGUUAUUCAUGAGAUUUAAUAGAUUCUGUUUGCCGAUGAAUACCUCAACAGUGGAAAGUACUUCACUUUGAAAGUACUUCACUGACCACAAAAUGGUUUGUUCUGCUUGUAAGCCAUCAAAUCACUGUAUAACUUUAUUUA